UGGGGAAUAUUGCACAAUGGGCGCAAGCCUGAUGCAGCCAUGCCGCGUGUGUGAAGAAGGCCUUCGGGUUGUAAAGCACUUUCAGCGAGGAGGAAGGUGGUGAGCUUAAUACGCUCAUCAAUUGACGUUACUCGCAGAAGAAGCACCGGCUAACUCCGUGCCAGCAGCCGCGGUAAUACGGAGGGUGCAAGCGUUAAUCGGAAUUACUGGGCGUAAAGCGCACGCAGGCGGUCUGUUAAGUCAGAUGUGAAAUCCCCGGGCUCAACCUGGGAACUGCAUUUGAAACUGGCAAGCUAGAGUCUCGUAGAGGGGGGUAGAAUUCCAGGUGUAGCGGUGAAAUGCGUAGAGAUCUGGAGGAAUACCGGUGGCGAAGGCGGCCCCCCUGGANGAAGACUGACGCUCAGGUGCGAAAAGCGUGAGGAGCAAAACAGGAUUAGAUACCCUGGUAGUCCACGGUGUAAAACGAUGUCGAUUUUGGAGGUUGUGCCCCUUGAGGCGUGGCUUCCGGAGCUAACGCGUUAAAUCGA
RNAcentral lists this ribosomal RNA (527 nucleotides) under uncultured bacterium. RNAcentral's name for it is "partial 16S ribosomal RNA". It matches the Rfam family "Bacterial small subunit ribosomal RNA", at positions 355 to 868 of the family's 1533-position model. The record is from RNAcentral.